Aegilops tauschii subsp. strangulata is the source of this 757-nucleotide long non-coding RNA. RefSeq lists it as uncharacterized. The record is from RefSeq and is a predicted model, not a curated record. NCBI's taxonomy places the organism in Eukaryota, Viridiplantae, Streptophyta, Magnoliopsida, Poales, Poaceae.
UCCUAGCCCACCGGAGCAACGGCAUCUCGCCGAAGUUCGCCUCUGUUCGCCUCGGCCGCCGCGGUUCCUCCUUGGUUCCGGCGAGCUCGAGCAUCCUCUCCUCCUCUGGUGUUGUCCACCGCCUUCCCCACGUCCCGGCGAACCUCCCUACCCACUUGCCCCCUCGCCGGAGCCCCUAUUUCGCCGAAUACCUCCACCGCCAGAGCUCUCUGUAGCCUCCUCGGUCGCCGCGUCCCACCGCCUCUCCACCACUCUCCGGCGCCUCCUUUGCCUCUGAAUGGGUGCGGUGCUCCGCCCCGAAGCCGCCGGUGCCCGCGCCUUGGUUUGAGGUGGCCGGAGCAGCCCGUUCCAUCGCCGGCGCCCGCCCUGCUCCUCUCUGUUCUCCUCCCGUCGCCACUUCCCCAAGGCAUCCCCGUCGUCCCUGCUGCCUCUCUCCGCUGCGUCCGGCCGAGCCGCGCCCGCCGGUGGCCUCCGCCUGGCCGGAUUUGGCCGGAGCCGCCUGGGCCCCUCGCUGCGCCCACCUCCGCUGCUUCGCUCCACUGUCUCCGAUCGGGGAGGCAGGAGGAGGAAGACGACGACCUGACUCGGCCCCCCUGGCCGCUGGACCCCACGUGCCAGCCACACAUCCCGGGCCCAGGGACUCGUUGGUGAUGAAAAUAUUCACAGAUUGGUCCCUGAUCUUCUUCACCUUGUAACUUCUCAACCGUAACUCCGUUUAAGCCCCUCCGAGAGAGAACUGUUUCCGGCAAAUCUUUUC